AAGAAAUUUCCCCCCAAAAGCUAUCAGCACCAUCUCUCCCAAAUCCCAAUCCUUCACCACUCUAACCAACCAUCCUUGAAGGCUUGAACCCUCGUCCCUUGUCCUCCUCAUGUAAAACAUAACCAUCAAGGUAUGGCCAACCUAGUCUUUCUUUUGUUUCUCUUCUUAAUUUCGAUUGUUGCCAUUACUUUUCCUAGGAUUCUUGAUUGGAAAUAGUUCUUUUCAGUUUCUUCAUUACAGUGUGGCACUAAAAUGUCAAUUUUAUUAUGAAUGGAGGAGCUUUUUCGUAUAUUUUAAUUUAUAUAUUUGCAUGUUUAAUAUGUUUAAAUUAGUUUGUUGUAUGAAAUGUGAUUUAGUAGUUCAUCUUGAUUUCUGUAAUACUAAGUCCGGACAAGCCUUUUUUCCUAUAAUUUCUUGUAUAUUGUUUAUUCUUCAUUACCUCCAUUUGUAGAUUAGGGAUCUUAAAUGACUUUUUGGGUUGUGCACAGUUUACAGUUAUAUGGACACAAAAAAAAUCAUACUAAUAAUUUUUCUCUAUUAGAGUAGGUACUGUUCACAGUUGUAGUGGUUAAUAUCUAUGUGAAUAUUUGCAGAGAGCAAAUGAGUUGGUGAGGCACAAUUUUCACCCAAACUUGAUGAUCAGUUGAGUGGAUAUAGGGUGAGUAUCUGCAUUCAUUUGAUGUGCAACUUACUAAAUAAAUAGUCAUAUGAAAAUGCAUCUUUGCUUUCUAUAUAAUUUUUUGUACUUAUUGUGGCAGCUAGCAAUGAAGGAAGCAUGCAAAUAGGUGAAGAAGAGUUACUUUCUAUAUAUUUUUGGUACUUCUUGUGGCAGCUAGCAAUGUAGG
This 845-nucleotide long non-coding RNA is filed under the name Nicotiana benthamiana. RNAcentral's name for it is "long non-coding RNA (NBEN_LNC009016)". The record is from RNAcentral. Lineage: Eukaryota; Viridiplantae; Streptophyta; Magnoliopsida; Solanales; Solanaceae.